UACGUAGGGCGCAAGCGUUGUCCGGAAUUAUUGGGCGUAAAGAGCUCGUAGGCGGCUUGUCACGUCGGGUGUGAAAGCCCGGGGCUUAACCCCGGGUCUGCAUUCGAUACGGGCAGGCUAGAGUGUGGUAGGGGAGAUCGGAAUUCCUGGUGUAGCGGUGAAAUACGCAGAUAUCAGGAGGAACACCGGUGGCGAAGGCGGAUCUCUGGGCCAUUACUGACGCUGAGGAGCGAAAGCGUGGGGAGCGAACAGG
This 253-nucleotide ribosomal RNA is filed under the name uncultured bacterium. RNAcentral's name for it is "partial 16S ribosomal RNA". It matches the Rfam family "Bacterial small subunit ribosomal RNA", at positions 524 to 776 of the family's 1533-position model. The record is from RNAcentral.